GGGUUUUAUUUUUACGUUU
RNAcentral lists this microRNA (19 nucleotides) under Corchorus olitorius. RNAcentral describes it as "tca-miR-3885-". Lineage: Eukaryota; Viridiplantae; Streptophyta; Magnoliopsida; Malvales; Malvaceae. The record is from RNAcentral.